This 88-nucleotide transfer RNA is filed under the name Hymenobacter sp. CRA2. Its description in RNAcentral is "tRNA-Ser". It matches the Rfam family "tRNA". Rfam says of the family: Transfer RNA (tRNA) molecules are approximately 80 nucleotides in length. Their secondary structure includes four short double-helical elements and three loops (D, anti-codon, and T loops). The record is from RNAcentral. Lineage: Bacteria; Pseudomonadati; Bacteroidota; Cytophagia; Cytophagales; Hymenobacteraceae.
AGAGGAGUGGCAGAGUGGUCGAUUGCGGCGGUCUUGAAAACCGUUGACUGUAAAAGGUCCGGGGGUUCGAAUCCCUCCUCCUCUGCGA